UGGUGAGGUUGGCAGCCAUCAAGCCCCAAUGAUGUCAUCUGUCCAUCUCUCCUUCCCCUGUGCUGAGGUACACAGGGCUUUUACAUGGGCGCUAGGGACUUGAUCUCAGGUCAAGUUCUUCCCUGGCAGUCACCUCCUGAGCUCUUUACAAGAGACAUACCCUGAGGAGCUCUAAACCACAGAGGAGGGGCUGAACCACUUGGUUCAAGUCUCCUGUCACCCUGAGACCCUGUGAGGGCACAGAGCACUCUCCCAUGCCAUUAGUAGUGUCCACCCAGUCACAGCCUCCAGCCUUCUAAGAGCCCUCACCACCCUUAAAAAUGUCCCUCCUGUGACCAUUACUUUCCCAGUGGCCCAAAGCACCCUGAACUUGAGACCUCAGCCCAGGACCUGGAGUUAAAAUGGUGGGUUGUGAAGCCAAGGUUCCUGAAUCCAAGGUCCUUCUGCGCAUCUAAGGCUGCAGGAACUUGGGCAUCAGCCUCCCCUUAUCUGGGCACCUGCUUUCCCUUCACAGGGUGGCUGCCAGCACGCAGCCGGAUAUCCAGUGUGGGUGUCAACUUUUGAGUGUCACCUCCUUUGGGUCACCUGUCUAGAAGUCUUGUGUUUAUGUGGAUGUACAAGUGUGUCGGAGGGUCAGCCUCAGCUGGUGGUCCCCACUUGCUAUCCAUGUUUUCUAUUAAAAUGUUCUAUUUGGGCUGGAAA
RNAcentral lists this long non-coding RNA (702 nucleotides) under Rattus norvegicus (Norway rat). Its description in RNAcentral is "long non-coding RNA NONRATT027515". The record is from RNAcentral. Lineage: Eukaryota; Metazoa; Chordata; Mammalia; Rodentia; Muridae.